CUCCACCCAGACUCAUCCAUAGUAUAAGUUAUAGAGAGUUUCUGUUGGCGCUGAUAUUGUCCCCUACAGCUACACACGACCGUACCGCAAACCGACACUGGUGCGCGAGAUGAGUAUUCUAAGGCGCUUGAGAGAACUCGGGAGAAGGAACUCGGCAAAUUGACACCGUAACUUCGGAAGAAGGUGUGCCCUAGUAGUGUGAAGUGAACAACGGAGCAUGAAUGGGUUGCAAAAAAUCGGUGGCUGCGACUGUUUAUUAAAAACACAGCACUCUGCAAACACGAAAGUGGACGUAUAGGGUGUGACGCCUGCCCGGUGCUGGAAGAUUAAAUGAUGGGGUGCAAGCUCUUGAUUGAAGUCCCAGUAAACGGCGGCCGUAACAAUAACGGUCCUAAGGUAGCGAAAUUCCUUGUCGGGUAAGUUCCGACCUGCACGAAUGGCGUAACGAUGGCCACACUGUCUCCUCCCGAGACUCAGCGAAGUUGAAAUGUUUGUGAUGAUGCAAUCUCCCCGCGGAAAGACGGAAAGACCCCAUGAACCUUUACUGUAGCUUUGUAUUGGACUUUGAACAGAUCUGUGUAGGAUAGGUGGGAGGCUUUGAAGCAGGGUCGCUAGAUCUUGUGGAGCCAACGUUGAAAUACCACCCUGGUGUGUUUGAGGUUCUAACCUAGGUCCAUUAUCCGGAUCGGGGACAGUGCAUGGUAGGCAGUUUGACUGGGGCGGUCUCCUCCCAAAGCGUAACGGAGGAGUUCGAAGGUACGCUAGUUACGGUCGGACAUCGUGACGAUAGUGCAAUGGCAUAAGCGUGCUUAACUGCGAGACUGACAAGUCGAGCAGAUGCGAAAGCAGGACAUAGUGAUCCGGUGGUUCUGUAUGGAAGGGCCAUCGCUCAACGGAUAAAAGGUACUCUGGGGAUAACAGGCUGAUACCGCCCAAGAGUUCAUAUCGACGGCGGUGUUUGGCACCUCGAUGUCGGCUCAUCUCAUCCUGGGGCUGUAGCCGGUCCCAAGGGUAUGGCUGUUCGCCAUUUAAAGAGGUACGUGAGCUGGGUUUAAAACGUCGUGAGACAGUUUGGUCCCUAUCUUCCGUGGGCGCUGCAGAUUUGAGGAAGCCUGCUCCUAGUACGAGAGGACCGGAGUGGACGCACCUCUGGUGUAUCGGUUGUCACGCCAGUGGCAUUGCCGAGUAGCUAUGUGCGGAAGAGAUAACCGCUGAAAGCAUCUAAGCGGGAAACUCGUUCCAAGAUGAGAUCUGCCGGGGCCUUGAGCCCCCUAAAGAGUCGUUCAAGACCAGGACGUUGAUAGGUCAGGUGUGGAAGCGCAGUAAUGCGUUAAGCUAACUGAUACUAAUUGCUCGUGCGGCUUGACCC
Molecule: ribosomal RNA, 1369 nt
Filed under: metagenome
Description: bacterial LSU rRNA
Rfam family: Bacterial large subunit ribosomal RNA
Source: RNAcentral